ACAUGCAAGUCGAGCGAAGUGAAUCUCCUUCGGGAGUGAAGCUAGCGGCGGACGGGUGAGUAACACGUGGGCAACCUGCCUCAUAGAGGGGAAUAGCCUUCCGAAAGGAAGAUUAAUACCGCAUAAGAUUGUAGCUUCGCAUGAGGUAGCAAUUAAAGGAGCAAUCCGCUAUGAGAUGGGCCCGCGGCGCAUUAGCUAGUUGGUGAGGUAACGGCUCACCAAGGCGACGAUGCGUAGCCGACCUGAGAGGGUGAUCGGCCACAUUGGGACUGAGACACGGCCCAGACUCCUACGGGAGGCAGCAGUGGGGAAUAUUGCACAAUGGGGGAAACCCUGAUGCAGCAACGCCGCGUGAGUGAUGACGGCCUUCCGGGUUGUAAAGCUCUGUCUUCAGGGACGAUAAUGACGGUACCUGAGGAGGAAGCCACGGCUAACUACGUGCCAGCAGCCGCGGUAAUACGUAGGUGGCGAGCGUUGUCCGGAUUUACUGGGCGUAAAGGGAGCGUAGGCGGACUUUUAAGUGAGAUGUGAAAUACCCGGGCUCAACUUGGGUGCUGCAUUUCAAACUGGAAGUCUAGAGUGCAGGAGAGGAGAAUGGAAUUCCUAGUGUAGCGGUGAAAUGCGUAGAGAUUAGGAAGAACACCAGUGGCGAAGGCGAUUCUCUG
RNAcentral lists this ribosomal RNA (665 nucleotides) under uncultured Clostridium sp. RNAcentral describes it as "bacterial SSU rRNA". It matches the Rfam family "Bacterial small subunit ribosomal RNA", at positions 53 to 731 of the family's 1533-position model. The record is from RNAcentral. Lineage: Bacteria; Bacillati; Bacillota; Clostridia; Eubacteriales; Clostridiaceae.